GUCGAGCGAACGGACGAGAAGCUUGCUUCUCUGAUGUUGGCGGCGGACGGGUGAGUAACACGUGGAUAACCUACCUAUAAGACUGGGAUAACUUCGGGAAACCGGAGCUAAUACCGGAUAAUAUUUUGAACCGCAUGGUUCAAAAGUGAAAGACGGUCUUGCUGUCACUUAUAGAUGGAUCCGCGCUGCAUUAGCUAGUUGGUAAGGUAACGGCUUACCAAGGCAACGAUGCAUAGCCGACCUGAGAGGGUGAUCGGCCACACUGGAACUGAGACACGGUCCAGACUCCUACGGGAGGCAGCAGUAGGGAAUCUUCCGCAAUGGGCGAAAGCCUGACGGAGCAACGCCGCGUGAGUGAUGAAGGUCUUCGGAUCGUAAAACUCUGUUAUUAGGGAAGAACAUAUGUGUAAGUAACUGUGCACAUCUUGACGGUACCUAAUCAGAAAGCCACGGCUAACUACGUGCCAGCAGCCGCGGUAAUACGUAGGUGGCAAGCGUUAUCCGGAAUUAUUGGGCGUAAAGCGCGCGUAGGCGGUUUUUUAAGUCUGAUGUGAAAGCCCACGGCUCAACCGUGGAGGGUCAUUGGAAACUGGAAAACUUGAGUGCAGAAGAGGAAAGUGGAAUUCCAUGUGUAGCGGUGAAAUGCGCAGAGAUAUGGAGGAACACCAGUGGCGAAGGCGACUUUCUGGUCUGUAACUGACGCUGAUGUGCGAAAGCGUGG
RNAcentral lists this ribosomal RNA (721 nucleotides) under uncultured Staphylococcus sp. Its description in RNAcentral is "bacterial SSU rRNA". It matches the Rfam family "Bacterial small subunit ribosomal RNA", at positions 61 to 764 of the family's 1533-position model. Lineage: Bacteria; Bacillati; Bacillota; Bacilli; Caryophanales; Staphylococcaceae. The record is from RNAcentral.